UACGAAGGGGGGCUAGCGUUGCUCGGAAUCACUGGGCGUAAAGGGUGCGUAGGCGGGUCUUUUAAGUCAGGGGUGAAAUCCUGGAGCUCAACUCCAGAACUGCCUUUGAUACUGAGGAUCUUGAGUACGGGAGAGGUGAGUGGAACUGCGAGUGUAGAGGUGAAAUUCGUAGAUAUUCGCAAGAACACCAGUGGCGAAGGCGGCUCACUGGCCCGUUACUGACGCUGAGGCACGAAAGCGUGGGGAGCAAACAGGG
RNAcentral lists this ribosomal RNA (256 nucleotides) under uncultured bacterium. RNAcentral's name for it is "partial 16S ribosomal RNA". It matches the Rfam family "Bacterial small subunit ribosomal RNA", at positions 524 to 777 of the family's 1533-position model. The record is from RNAcentral.